CGCGUAGGCGGCUUUAUAAGUCUGGAGUGAAAGUCCUCUUUUCAAGGGAGGAAUUGCUUUGGAAACUAUAGAGCUUGAGUGCAGGAGAGGUUAUCGGAAUUUCCGGUGUAGCGGUGAAAUGCGUAGAUAUCGGGAGGAACAUCGGUGGCGAAGGCGGGUAACUGGACUGCAACUGACGCUGAGGCGCGAAAGUGUGGGGAGCAAACA
This 207-nucleotide ribosomal RNA is filed under the name uncultured bacterium. Its description in RNAcentral is "partial 16S ribosomal RNA". It matches the Rfam family "Bacterial small subunit ribosomal RNA", at positions 568 to 774 of the family's 1533-position model. The record is from RNAcentral.